This 253-nucleotide ribosomal RNA is filed under the name uncultured bacterium. Its description in RNAcentral is "partial 16S ribosomal RNA". It matches the Rfam family "Bacterial small subunit ribosomal RNA", at positions 524 to 776 of the family's 1533-position model. The record is from RNAcentral.
UACGAAGGGGGCUAGCGUUGUUCGGAAUUACUGGGCGUAAAGCGCGCGUAGGCGGAUAUUUAAGUCAGGGGUGAAAUCCCGGGGCUCAACCCUGGAACUGCCUUUGAUACUGGAUAUCUGGAGUUCGGGAGAGGUGAGUGGAAUUCCGAGUGUAGAGGUGAAAUUCGUAGAUAUUCGGAGGAACACCAGAAGCGAAGGCGGCUCACUGGCCCGAUACUGACGCUCAUGCACGAAAGCGUGGGGAGCAAACAGG